Molecule: small RNA, 459 nt
Filed under: Arabidopsis thaliana (thale cress)
Lineage: Eukaryota; Viridiplantae; Streptophyta; Magnoliopsida; Brassicales; Brassicaceae
Description: ATSL292340
Source: RNAcentral
AAUGUGAAAUCAAAUUACAUAACUGCUUUCUCCCUAAUCUUAUUAUAUAAAUUAUGGUUUUCAAAGUUGCUAAUUCGUAGGAUUGUGCCACGUGUCAAGUCAAACGAUCAGAUGUUUACAUGUGUCAUUCCAAAUUUAACUUUUUUAUUCUCUAAAAAAAUAGAAAAUCUUAAAAAGUAAACAAAUUUACAUAUACUAAUUUAUAUAUCUAUAUAUUUAUAAACAAUUAACAUUUAUUCAACAAAAGGAAAAUUAACAAAUUUGUCUUUAACUCAUGUAAUCAUAGGUGAAAAAUAAAACAUUUUGAGAAAAAUAGCUUAGCUUAUAGGAUUUAACUUUUCAAUUAUUUUCAUUUAUUAAUUUUAACUCAUUUAAUAUUAAUUUGCAUGAUGUAAAAUUAACUUACGAGAUUACGACAUAUAUACAAAAUAUAUUUUCAACAAUGUUUGGUUUUUAAAU